CCCCCUCCCGCCGAGGGCCGAGGGAAGAGCAGCUCGACUUGGGGUGCCCCGAAGAGCGCUGGGCACCGCCCCGGGCAGCCCCGCGUUAGGAGUGCCAGGUGCCAAAUAUUUGCAUAAAAGGAUGCUCUUCAUUUUAGUGCUUCACACAUCAUCAUAUAUAGAAGUCAAAGAAUGGUUGGAAAUACAACAGUCUAUAGGCGAACAACUGGCCUCUGUAACAGUGAAAAUACAAAUAACCCACUUGUACAAGAAAUCUUGGCAGAAUCCAAAAGCAUGUGCAGGUGCUGACACUACUAAGAAAAAACUGUGGAUGGAUGCAUGCUGCUAACCACUGAAAAUGCCAGAGGAUGGUAUAAGUAAAACACAUUAUAAAUGGAUUAUGGCCAGGGACCUUUAAAG
Molecule: long non-coding RNA, 399 nt
Organism: Pezoporus occidentalis (night parrot)
Lineage: Eukaryota; Metazoa; Chordata; Aves; Psittaciformes; Psittacidae
Exons: 4
Source: RefSeq, a predicted model, not a curated record